RNAcentral lists this ribosomal RNA (523 nucleotides) under Salmonella enterica subsp. enterica. RNAcentral describes it as "partial 23S ribosomal RNA". It matches the Rfam family "Bacterial large subunit ribosomal RNA", at positions 668 to 1190 of the family's 2925-position model. Lineage: Bacteria; Pseudomonadati; Pseudomonadota; Gammaproteobacteria; Enterobacterales; Enterobacteriaceae. The record is from RNAcentral.
CAGGGAAACCGAGUCUUAAUUGGGCGUUAAGUUGCAGGGUAUAGACCCGAAACCCGGUGAUCUAGCCAUGGGCAGGUUGAAGGUUGGGUAACACUAACUGGAGGACCGAACCGACUAAUGUUGAAAAAUUAGCGGAUGACCUGUGGCUGGGGGUGAAAGGCCAAUCAAACCGGGAGAUAGCUGGUUCUCCCCGAAAGCUAUUUAGGUAGCGCCUCGUGAAUUCAUCUCCGGGGGUAGAGCACUGUUUCGGCUAGGGGGCCAUCCCGGCUUACCAACCCGAUGCAAACUGCGAAUACCGGAGAAUGUUAUCACGGGAGACACACGGCGGGUGCUAACGUCCGUCGUGAAGAGGGAAACAACCCAGACCGCCAGCUAAGGUCCCAAAGUCAUGGUUAAGUGGGAAACGAUGUGGGAAGGCCCAGACAGCCAGGAUGUUGGCUUAGAAGCAGCCAUCAUUUAAAGAAAGCGUAAUAGCUCACUGGUCGAGUCGGCCUGCGCGGAAGAUGUAACGGGGCUAAACCAU